RNAcentral lists this long non-coding RNA (1624 nucleotides) under Schizosaccharomyces pombe (fission yeast). Lineage: Eukaryota; Fungi; Ascomycota; Schizosaccharomycetes; Schizosaccharomycetales; Schizosaccharomycetaceae. The record is from RNAcentral.
GUAGCUUCCAAUUUCAAUGCUAAUAUUAUAUUAGAAAUAUCAAAUUUUUCAGGGGUGGUAACGACUAGGGAGAUCGAUGUCAAAGACAAUAUGAGUGAAAAAACUAGUCAUUAGUAUAAAUUUCAUUGAGUCUAAAACUGUUUAAGUCAAGGUCGUUAAGGCUGUUCGGUGCAAGCAAUAAACGACUCGAAAACACAUAAUAAUGGUAAUUUAAAUGGCACUCAAAAAUCCGUCGAAAAAGGUUCAUUAAUAAGUCUUACAGCAUAAGAAGGACCACACAACUGACAUUCUUUCAAAAUGUUUUUUUCUGAUGCCAGUUUGUAAGUUUUUUCUAGCAUACAACUGCGAUGAAAAGCAUGCUGACAAGGAAAUAAAACAAAUGGUUCGGAAAAAAGAGGUUGGUUGCAGUGCCAGCAUGAUUCAUUGGGCUCCAAAACAAUGUACCUAUUACGCAUAUUUUCAGCGUUAGUUUGUAUUUCAUGCGCAACUUCUGAUGCUUGUCCGAUUUCGAAGUCCAGCUGUUCAAUUCUUUUCAUGCAAUGAUCCAGUUCAUCACACACAUUAUCACUUAAAUCGUCCAGUUUUAUAUCUUCUGGCAAUAGGCGAAUAAGCUCGGGAAGUUGUAAAACCUCGGAAUUCUCUAAAAAUCUCAAGGUUUCUUUAAUUCCACUUUUUUUGGAAAACAUAUAUUUUGCAAUAGUCUGCCACAAAGUUUUUUUCAACACAACAUCUUCCUCUGGAAUAUUUGCUAUCGUAGCAGCUAAUUCACAAUCAUCUGCUUCUAAGGCUAAUUCCACUCCUUGGCUAUACAGCUUCAUAAGCACCAGAAUUUUUACUGCACUUCUCCGACAGUUAAAUUGCAAGCAUAAUCGAAUUCCUAAAUCCAUAUCGUACAAAGGAUGAUUUCCUUGCUGUUCAAUAUAAUUCAUUAAGUAAGACUCAUUAGAACUCGAAUGACAAGCGUAAAUGCAGAACAAUGUAUUAUGAAUAGAUGGAUCUACGCACCCCAAAACACCAGUAACGUAUCUAAGGUAUCUUAUGGCCGCAUUUUCCUCUACCGGUACGUGAGAACGCUGAUUAUAACUCAAGAGGGAUGGUAUCAAUGCAUGUACGUCCAAAUCUGUUUGACGUUCCCAAAUGCUGACAGUUUCAUUCGGUCGAUGAGUUAAAAGGGCAGUCGCAUGCUGAAUGAGGGUUUCUUGACUGACGCCUUCAUUUAAUGUCUCCAACGCUUUUUCAUAGUUCUCUCUUUGUACCCAAUAGUGCAUUAUGUAAGACUGGUCUUUCAUAACGGUAGCAAUUUGAAGUAACUGUUCUUCCUUACCAUAGUUAUUAGCAAGAUUAUAAGCUGCUUCACGAUUUAUCUCAUCUUUGUAUUGAUUAAGAAGAGUUGAAAACUCCCGUUGAACCUGUUGGCGCUGUUGCAUUACAUUUUCAGGAAAUAAUUCGAGACGCUCUUUUUCAUCAAGAGAAUUCAAUUUGGCCAGCAUUAACUCUAAAAGCCAGUUAACUAACAACGAUUUUUGAAUUUUCAUCUAAUAUAUUAUGUUAGAAAUUUAAAGUUUUUUGUAUUGGUGACUUACAGUGCUCUUAUAAGAUCGAAGCUUCUUCCACAAAUAUAGCC